AGGUGGAUGAGGAGAGAAUCCUAAGGCCGGCGGAAGAAGUAUUGCCAAGGAACUCGGCAAAAUGGCCCCGUAACUUAGGGAGAAGGGGUGCCUGCGAGAGCAGGCCGCAGAGAAUAGGCUCAAGCAACUGUUUAGCAAAAACACAGGUCUAUGCGAAACCGAAAGGUGAGGUAUAUGGGCUGACGCCUGCCCGGUGCUGGAAGGUUAAGAGGAGAGGUUAGACGCAAGUCGAAGCUUUGAAUUUAAGCCCCAGUAAACGGCGGCCGUAACUAUAACGGUCCUAAGGUAGCGAAAUUCCUUGUCGGGUAAGUUCCGACCCGCACGAAAGGCGUAAUGAUUUGAGCGCUGUCUCGGCAAUACAUCCGGUGAAAUUGAAGUGCCAGUGAAGAUGCUGGCUACCCGCGCCAGGACGGAAAGACCCCAUGGAGCUUUACUCCAGUUUGGCACUGGGGUCCGGUGUUGCAUGUACAGGAUAGGUGGGAGGCUGAGAGAUAGUGACGUCAGUUGCUAUGGAGCCGCUGUUGGGAUACCACCCUUGUGAUAUUGGGCUUCUAACCAGCCGCCGUGAACCGGCGGUGGGACAAUGCCAGGCGGGGAGUUUGACUGGGGCGGUCGCCUCCGAAAGGGUAUCGGAGGCGCCCAAAGGUUCCCUCAGAAUGGACGGAAACCAUUCGAAGAGUGCAAAGGCAGAAGGGAGCUUGACUGCGACACCGACGGGUGGAGCAGGUACGAAAGUAGGGCUUAGUGAUCCGGUGGUAUUAAGUGGGAAUGCCAUCGCUCAACGGAUAAAAGCUACCCUGGGAUAACAGGCUUAUCACUCCCAAGAGUUCACAUCGACGGAGUGGUUUGGCACCUCGAUGUCGGCUCAUCGCAUCCUGGGGCUGUAGUAGGUCCCAAGGGUUGGGCUGUUCGCCCAUUAAAGCGGUACGCGAGCUGGGUUCAGAACGUCGUGAGACAGUUCGGUCCCUAUCCGGCGUGGGCGUAGGAUAUCUGAGAGGAGCUGUCCUUAGUACGAGAGGACCGGGAUGGACGGACCGCUGGUGGACCGGUUGGCUUGCCAAAGCCAUGGCCGGGUAGCCAAGUCCGGAAGGGAUAAACGCUGAAGGCAUCUAAGCGUGAAGCCCCCCUCAAGAUGAGAUAUCCCAUUCUUUAAGAAGUAAACCCCCUUGAAGACGACGAGGUAGAUAGGGCAGAGGUGGAAGUGUGGUAACACAUGGAGCUGACUGUUACUAAUCGGGUGAGGGCUUGACCUA
RNAcentral lists this ribosomal RNA (1253 nucleotides) under metagenome. Its description in RNAcentral is "bacterial LSU rRNA". It matches the Rfam family "Bacterial large subunit ribosomal RNA", at positions 1661 to 2925 of the family's 2925-position model. The record is from RNAcentral.